Neltuma alba is the source of this 1199-nucleotide RNA transcript. It is a transcript of the gene named dnaJ homolog subfamily C member 7 homolog, with no coding region annotated. The transcript has 8 exons. Lineage: Eukaryota; Viridiplantae; Streptophyta; Magnoliopsida; Fabales; Fabaceae. The record is from RefSeq and is a predicted model, not a curated record.
GAAAGAGUUCUGAUUUUCACGGGGCCACGGAGAGUAAAAAGAAGUUUGUAAUCUAGAAAUCUAGAAAUUGGUUAAAAGAUCAUAAAAAUCAAAGCGAGAUAAGGAAUUGUAAUAUAAAAGCGUGGCUUGUGUUUUGGAUUGCGGAAUUGAAGAAAGCAAUACCAGCGUUAGGUUAAGAAGGGGAUAAUGAAGGAUGACGCUGAUGAUCGAAAACGGGAUAAUCCAUGGCCCUCGUCAAACUCGCCCUAUCAGGGGGAGCCCGAGCAUGAUGCGAAGCUUUGGGGUAUUUUUCUCUUCGGCUUGAUAGGUGCCACUGCCACAACCUUCGCCGUUAGUCAGCUGCGGAGGACUGUUGAUUGGUUCUAUGCACAGAUGUCCAGAUCGCAAUCACCAUGGAAAGGAGGGGCGGGCUCCUUUCGAUCUUCUUUUCAGGAAGAAGCAUGGAAAAGGUACAAUAAGCGGCUCCAAGAAGAGUAUGAAGAGGAAAUGGCGAGAGUGGAACGUAUAAGGCGUAUGCAAAGUGUGUUUAACAGGGAAAGGAAUAAGUACAAAAGAAGCUAUGAGAACUGGAGCCAAAAUGAUCACAACGGUGGAUAUCGUCAACAUUUCCAAAGAGAUGAUUGGUAUUGGAAGACUGACGCAUCCUAUAGAGAUUGGAGGACCAAUUAUCGAGAAGCUCCAAGGGAAACUGGAAGCUAUUCAUUAUCGCAUCACUACUCAGUUUUGGGUCUUGACAGGUUUAGAACAACACCAUAUACAGAUGCAGAGAUUAAGACAGCAUUUAGGACCAAGGCAAAGGAGUAUCAUCCUGAUCAGAACCAGGAUAAUAGAGAGGCUGCAGAGGCAAAAUUCAAAGAGGUGGUGAAUUCUUAUGAAACCAUAAAGAAGGAAAGAGAGAACCAGAUGUAGCAAUUGCCCAAUCCUUCCCCAGCUUCUGCCUCAGAAUUUUGGAACCUAUUUGGACAAGUAGGAAGAAGAUCCGAUAAUGAAUCAUUGCAGCAGCGGCAGGAGGAGGACCAGAGGGGUUGGGAUGAUGGGAGGCGGCGCCAGCUAAGCGGCAACCUCGCUACAUACUGAAAGACCCUUGCUCUGUUGGGUUUGGCAACGGGACAGCUGAGUUGGGCCUCGGAGAAAAUUAUAUAUUUUACUCAAAGCAAAAAAUAAUAAUAGUAAAAAUAUUAUAAAAUAAUUAUUUUGAA